This 443-nucleotide ribosomal RNA is filed under the name uncultured bacterium. RNAcentral describes it as "partial 16S ribosomal RNA". It matches the Rfam family "Bacterial small subunit ribosomal RNA", at positions 338 to 795 of the family's 1533-position model. The record is from RNAcentral.
CCUACGGGUGGCUGCAGUGAGGAAUAUUGGUCAAUGGGCGGAAGCCUGAACCAGCCAAGUCGCGUGAGGGAAUAAGGCCCUCGGGUUGUAAACUUCUUUUGUCAGGGACGAAGCAAGUGACGGUACCUGACGAAUAAGCCACGGCUAACUACGUGCCAGCAGCCGCGGUAAUACGUAGGUGGCAAGCGUUAUCCGGAUUUACUGGGUGUAAAGGGCGUGUAGGCGGGGAAGCAAGUCAGGUGUGAAAUUCCAGGGCUCAACCCUGGAACUGCAUUUGAAACGGUUUUUCUUGAGUGAUGGAGAGGCAGGCGGAAUUCCGUGUGUAGCGGUGAAAUGCGUAGAUAUACGGAGGAACACCAGUGGCGAAGGCGGCCUGCUGGACAUUAACUGACGCUGAGGCGCGAAAGCGUGGGGAGCAAACAGGUUUAGAUACCCCAGUAGUC